RNAcentral lists this transfer RNA (69 nucleotides) under Rattus norvegicus (Norway rat). It matches the Rfam family "tRNA". Rfam says of the family: Transfer RNA (tRNA) molecules are approximately 80 nucleotides in length. Their secondary structure includes four short double-helical elements and three loops (D, anti-codon, and T loops). The record is from Rfam by way of RNAcentral. Lineage: Eukaryota; Metazoa; Chordata; Mammalia; Rodentia; Muridae.
GGGGAUUUAGCUCAAUGGUAGAGCGCUUGCCUAGCAAGCACAAGGUCCUGGGUUCGGUCCCCAGCUCCG